CUGACUGCUAUCGGAUUGGUACUAAGCCAUGCGAGUCAUUGUAGCAAUACAAGGCGGACGGCUCAGUAACACGUAGUCAACCUAACCUAUGGACGUGGAUAACCUCGAGAAACUGAGAAUAAACCAUGAUAGAUCAUGAUGCCUGGAAUGGCUUAUGGUUCAAACAAUUUAUUGCCGUAGGAUGGGACUGCGGCCUAUCAGCUUGUUGGUGAGGUAAUGGCCCACCAAGGCUAUAACAGGUACGGGCUCUGAGAGGAGAAGCCCGGAGAUGGGUACUGAGACACGGACCCAGGCCCUAUGGGGCGCAGCAGGCGAGAAACCUUAGCAAUGUGCGAAAGCACGACUAGGUUAAUCCGAGUGGUUCCUGCUAAAGGAACCUUUUGUCAGUUGUAAAACCACAGACGAAUAAGGGGUGGGCAAGUUUGGUGUCAGCCGCCGCGGUAAUACCAGCACCUCGAGUGGUCAGGAGGUUUAUUGGGCCUAAAGCAUCCGUAGCCGGCUACGCAAGUUUUCGGUUAAAUCCAACUGCUCAACAGAUGGGCUGCCGGAGAUACUACAUAGCUAGGGAGCGGGAGAGGCAGACGGUAUUCGGUGGGUAGGGGUAAAAUCCAUUUGAUCCAUCGAGGACCACCAGUGGCGAAGGCGGUCUGCCAGAACGCGUUCGACGGUGAGGGAUGAAAGCUGGGGGAGCAAACCGGAUUAGAUACCCGGGUAGUCCCAGCUGUAAACGAUGCAAACUCGGUGAUGCGUUGGCUUAUGGCCAACGCAGUGCCGCAGGGAAGCCGUUAAGUUUGCCGCCUGGGAAGUACGGACGCAAGUCUGAAACUUAAAGGAAUUGGCGGGGGAGCAC
This 850-nucleotide ribosomal RNA is filed under the name uncultured archaeon. RNAcentral's name for it is "bacterial SSU rRNA". It matches the Rfam family "Archaeal small subunit ribosomal RNA", at positions 23 to 879 of the family's 1478-position model. The record is from RNAcentral.